UCGGGAAUUUUGGGCAAUGGGCGCAAGCCUGACCCAGCAACGCCGCGUGAGGGAUGAAGGCCCUCGGGUCGUAAACCUCUGUCGGGAGGGAAGAAUGUUCGCGGGGCAAAUAGUCUCGUGGGCUGACGGUACCUCCAAAGGAAGCACCGGCUAACUCCGUGCCAGCAGCCGCGGUAAUACGGAGGGUGCAAGCGUUGUUCGGAAUCAUUGGGCGUAAAGCGCGUGUAGGCGGCUUGGCAAGUCGGGUGUGAAAGCCCGGGGCCCAACCCCGGAAUUGCACUCGAAACUGCCUCGCUAGAGUCCCGGAGGGGAAGGCGGAAUUCCCGGUGUAGAGGUGAAAUUCGUAGAUAUCGGGAGGAACACCAGCGGCGAAGGCGGCCUUCUGGACGGUGACUGACGCUGAGACGCGAAAGCGUGGGGAGCAAACAGGAUUAGAUACCCCCGUAGUCC
Molecule: ribosomal RNA, 450 nt
Filed under: uncultured prokaryote
Description: bacterial SSU rRNA
Rfam family: Bacterial small subunit ribosomal RNA
Source: RNAcentral